UAGUCCACGCCGUAAACGAUGCGCACUAGGUAUCAGCGCCUCUGACGGGGUUGGUGCCGAAACAAAAGCGAUAAGUGCGCCGCCUGGGGAGUACGGCCGCAAGGCUAAAACUCAAAGGAAUUGACGGGGGCUCACACAAGCGGUGGAGCAUGUGGAUUAAUUCGAAGCAACGCGUAGAACCCUACCUGGGUUUGACAUGCUAGGAUGCAGCCGUGAAAGCGGUCUAUGCUGCCUCUGGUGAAACUAGCACAGGUGCUGCAUGGCUGUCGUCAGCUCGUGCUGUGAAGUGUCGGGUUAAGUCCCUUAACGAGCGAAACCCCUAUCGUUAGUUGCCAGCGCGUCAUGGCGGGGACUCUAACGAGACUGCCGGCGUUAAGCCGGAGGAAGGUGGGGAUGACGUCAAGUCAUCAUGGCCUUUAUGCCCAGGGUGUCACACGUGCUACAAUGGUACGGACAGAGCGACGCGAGACCGCGAGGUGGAGCAAAUCGCACAAACCG
This 498-nucleotide ribosomal RNA is filed under the name uncultured bacterium. RNAcentral's name for it is "bacterial SSU rRNA". It matches the Rfam family "Bacterial small subunit ribosomal RNA", at positions 791 to 1283 of the family's 1533-position model. The record is from RNAcentral.